GUGGGGACUGUUGCUAUGUUCUUUCCAAUCCCAGCCCACAAGCAUUCCUAGCAGGUGCAGCAGGAGUUUGGAGGAGGAAUAGGCCCUUUCCUGGUCUUUCUACACUUGCCAAGUCUCCAAAUUGGCCUUUCAGCCUUUGCCUCCUGAGUCCUGCGAUGACAGACCUACACCACCACACCCAGCUCAACAUCACUCUCUCAAGGAGUUAAACAGAACAGCCUGGGAGGGUGUGGCAGGACCAGAAGAUAAGGAGCACGACUACAACACGACAUCUCCGGGCUCCCGCUGUGAAAUCUGUUUCGGGUCUGGACUAGGAUAUCGGGAAUUUCUAGAGAGCGGAGCAAAGGCCACAGUAGUUGCAGUAAUCUAUCACCGACCUCUGCUUGUCUACCUUCCCACACCCCGUGGACCACUGUUUCACAAAAUGUGAACUUGGGAAUCUCAGAGUACAAAACUUUUGCAACUUCCUGUGCGUCUAUGAGUCUAUUCAAAAUUAAAAGUGUUUUAAAAUCAGGGCUGUCGAGAAUGAAACCACACACCAGUCCCACGUGAAUUCCCCCAUUCUGCGACCCCAAGGUGGGGGAGACCUCCCGCCCGUCUACUUCCUGUCCCCAGGAACAAGCCAGACCUCUGUCCA
Heterocephalus glaber (naked mole-rat) is the source of this 637-nucleotide long non-coding RNA. RefSeq lists it as uncharacterized. The record is from RefSeq and is a predicted model, not a curated record. Lineage: Eukaryota; Metazoa; Chordata; Mammalia; Rodentia; Bathyergidae.